CCCUUAGAUGUCCUGGGCCGCACGCGCGUUACACUGAUGCAUUCAACGAGCUUAUAACCUUGGCCGAGAGGCCUGGGCAAUCUUGUUAACGUGCAUCGUGAUAGGGAUAGAUUAUUGAAAUUAUUAAUCUUGAACGAGGAAUUCCUAGUAAACGCAGAUCAUCAAUCUGCAUUGAUUACGUCCCUGCCCUUUGUACACACCGCCCGUCGCACCUACCGAUUGAAUGGUCCGGUGAAGCCUCGAGAUUGUGGCCAGCUCGCUUUAUUGGGAGUUGGUUGCGAGAACUUGUCUAAACCUUAUCAUUUAGAGGAAGGUGAAGUCGUAACA
RNAcentral lists this ribosomal RNA (327 nucleotides) under uncultured eukaryote. RNAcentral describes it as "partial 18S ribosomal RNA". It matches the Rfam family "Eukaryotic small subunit ribosomal RNA", at positions 1470 to 1796 of the family's 1831-position model. The record is from RNAcentral.